Molecule: non-coding RNA, 30 nt
Filed under: Rattus norvegicus (Norway rat)
Lineage: Eukaryota; Metazoa; Chordata; Mammalia; Rodentia; Muridae
Source: RNAcentral
AUGCCCGCGGCCACAGUCCACGCGUACACU